Molecule: ribosomal RNA, 498 nt
Filed under: uncultured bacterium
Lineage: Bacteria
Description: partial 16S ribosomal RNA
Rfam family: Bacterial small subunit ribosomal RNA
Source: RNAcentral
GAUGAACGCUGGCGGCGUGCCUAAUACAUGCAAGUCGAACGCUUCACUUCGGUGAAGAGUGGCGAACGGGUGAGUAAUACAUAAGUAACCUGGCAUCUACAGGGGGACAACUGAUGGAAACGUCAGCUAAGACAACAUAGGUGUAGAGAUCGCAUGAACUCUAUAUGAAAAGUGCUACGGGACUGGUAGAUGAUGGACUUAUGGCGCAUUAGCUGGUUGGGAGGGUAAGGGCCUAGCAAGGCGACGAUGCGUAGCCGAGCUGAGAGGGUGACCGGCAACACUGGGACUGAUACACGGUCCAGACUCCUACGGGAGGCAGCGGUAGGGAAUUUUCGGCAAUGGGGGAAACCCUGACCGAGCAAAGCCGCGUGAAGGAAGAAGUAAUUCGUUAUGUAAACUUCUGUCAUAGAGGAAGAACGGUGGAUAUAGGGAAUGAUAUCCAAGUGACGGUACUCUAUAAGAAAGCCACGGCUAACUACGUGCCAGCCGCCGCUGUAA